GGAAAUGAAGAAGAAAGAAAGAAGUUUAAGAGGUUCUUCCACUGGUGUUCGGCACACGAUCAACAAAACCCACAAAGUCAAGAAAAGAUCCACCUAUCCAUUUGCAACAUUUGGAACGGAGAGGAGAUUCUCCCGUAUUGCAUGAACAAUAAAUAGAAGUCUGUCUUCAGGUGUCAUCUGGACCUGGACAGAAUCUGUUCUGUAAUGAUGUUAAGGUGAGAUGUUCUGAUGGGACACUUGUGGUUCUUUAGAGCUACCAGACUGCUUAUUUCCAACCAUUCCUGCUUUAAAUGUUUAUAAUCAACACUGUGGGUAAGGCUGUUGUCCUUUACCUCAAUUUAAUUGUUAUAAUAAUGACACAUUAAUUUUCUUCCCCCUUCUUGAAUUUUCUCUUAAACACCACAGGGAUUGUCUGAACAAGGACUGUCCAGCAACUGUUUUAACAUUUGUAGUCAUGGCAACAUCCGCUUCCACCCACCAUAUUGUUGUAUGGUCUUUAUAGAUGUAAUAAUCACAUUUUUCUCAACAGUGUACACUGUACUUUGUAAUGGGAGCAUCAUGUGAUUUCAGUGAGGUAAGGAAACAGAUGAGAGUCUCUACUUUCUGUUGGAGAUUUCAUUAAAUGUGAACCUGUGAAAUCCACAGGAUGAUAGAUGACAAUACGAAGAUGGUAGUGUCUCUCUCUUGAGAAACUUCCCUGUGAGGUCAGAACAAUAAUGGUGCUCUGUACCACGUCAUGUUACACAUCUGUCAGUUUUUUAAGAAAACCUUCAAUUUGUCCUUUUUAAAGGGUCCAGAGAAGAACAACAAAAGGAGAGAGAGCAGAAAAAAGUUGAUGAGAGGCAAAAUGUGA
Gambusia affinis (western mosquitofish) is the source of this 853-nucleotide long non-coding RNA. RefSeq lists it as uncharacterized. The record is from RefSeq and is a predicted model, not a curated record. The transcript has 3 exons. NCBI's taxonomy places the organism in Eukaryota, Metazoa, Chordata, Actinopteri, Cyprinodontiformes, Poeciliidae.